RNAcentral lists this transfer RNA (76 nucleotides) under Alphaproteobacteria bacterium. RNAcentral's name for it is "tRNA-Ala". It matches the Rfam family "tRNA". From Rfam's summary of the family: Transfer RNA (tRNA) molecules are approximately 80 nucleotides in length. Their secondary structure includes four short double-helical elements and three loops (D, anti-codon, and T loops). Further hydrogen bonds mediate the characteristic L-shaped molecular structure. tRNAs have two regions of fundamental functional importance: the anti-codon, which is responsible for specific mRNA codon recognition, and the 3' end, to which the tRNAs corresponding amino acid is attached (by aminoacyl-tRNA synthetases). tRNAs cope with the degeneracy of the genetic code in two manners: having more than one tRNA (with a specific anti-codon) for a particular amino acid; and 'wobble' base-pairing, i.e. permitting non-standard base-pairing at the 3rd anti-codon position. Lineage: Bacteria; Pseudomonadati; Pseudomonadota; Alphaproteobacteria. The record is from RNAcentral.
GGGUCCUUAGCUCAGCUGGGAGAGCGCCUCGCUGGCAGCGAGGAGGUCAGCGGUUCGAUCCCGCUAGGAUCCACCA